This 64-nucleotide transfer RNA is filed under the name Cavia porcellus (domestic guinea pig). It matches the Rfam family "tRNA". From Rfam's summary of the family: Transfer RNA (tRNA) molecules are approximately 80 nucleotides in length. Their secondary structure includes four short double-helical elements and three loops (D, anti-codon, and T loops). Further hydrogen bonds mediate the characteristic L-shaped molecular structure. tRNAs have two regions of fundamental functional importance: the anti-codon, which is responsible for specific mRNA codon recognition, and the 3' end, to which the tRNAs corresponding amino acid is attached (by aminoacyl-tRNA synthetases). tRNAs cope with the degeneracy of the genetic code in two manners: having more than one tRNA (with a specific anti-codon) for a particular amino acid; and 'wobble' base-pairing, i.e. permitting non-standard base-pairing at the 3rd anti-codon position. The record is from Rfam by way of RNAcentral. Lineage: Eukaryota; Metazoa; Chordata; Mammalia; Rodentia; Caviidae.
GGGGAUUUAGCUCAGUGGUGUAAGCGCCUGCCUGGCAAGCAUGAGGUCAUGACUUUGAUCCCCA